UACGAAGGGGGCUAGCGUUGCUCGGAAUCACUGGGCGUAAAGCGCACGUAGGCGGCUUUCUAAGUCAGGGGUGAAAUCCUGGAGCUCAACUCCAGAACUGCCUUUGAUACUGGAGAGCUUUGAGUCCGGAAGAGGUGAGUGGAACUCCGAGUGUAGAGGUGAAAUUCGUAGAUAUUCGGAAGAACACCAGUGGCGAAGGCGGCUCACUGUCCGGUACUGACGCUGAUGUGCGAAAGCGUGGGGGAGCAAACAGG
This 254-nucleotide ribosomal RNA is filed under the name uncultured bacterium. RNAcentral describes it as "partial 16S ribosomal RNA". It matches the Rfam family "Bacterial small subunit ribosomal RNA", at positions 524 to 776 of the family's 1533-position model. The record is from RNAcentral.